Molecule: non-coding RNA, 155 nt
Filed under: uncultured Butyricicoccus sp.
Lineage: Bacteria; Bacillati; Bacillota; Clostridia; Eubacteriales; Butyricicoccaceae
Source: RNAcentral
CCCGGCUGCGGGAAACUCAAAAGGGAAGCUGGGUGUGAAUCCCACACAAUGCCGUUGCUGUAUUGGCCGAGCAGGCCGCCACAAAGUCACUGGAUGGUUCCGGGAAGACGGCGGACUGCGCUUGGAGGCCUGAGUCAGAAGACCUGCCUGGAUAU